RNAcentral lists this ribosomal RNA (109 nucleotides) under Neogale vison (American mink). Lineage: Eukaryota; Metazoa; Chordata; Mammalia; Carnivora; Mustelidae. The record is from RNAcentral.
GUCUACGGCCAUACCACCCUGAACGCGCCCGAUCUCGUCUGAUCUCGGAAGCUAAGCAGGGUCGGGCCUGGUUAGUACUUGGAUGGGAGAAAACAAAAAGGUCUAAGCU